CUCAUCAAGAGGAGGUGACAGCUCACUGUGUUUCCAUUUCCUCUUUCUGAGGAGUGAGGACAUGCUUUCCUCCUGGACAUCUGGAGGGCCAGGCACUGGGACAUGCAUGGUGAGUCCUGCCAGCCAUGUGUGGCGGAGCGGGUACUGGUGUUCCAGUGGUGGCGCAGCCGCUUGGCCCUCAGCAAAGUUCUUGGUAACUCGGGCCUGUUUCCUGAGUAUAAAGCACAGAUGCUGACAGCAUGUCACAGGACUGUCGGGGGUGGGGAAGGCUACUGAAAUGGCGCUUGGAGGGCGCCUGCCCAGACAUGCUGGCUUCUCUGCUUCCGUGGCCCAGAGCCCUCUUCCUUCCUCUGCUGCUCUCAGCCUGGAUGCCACUGUCUUCACAAUCUUGUCCUGGCCCACCAGGUCUAGGAGAAAGCCUGAGUGUGCAGUCACUUCCUAAAAAGCAGCGCGCCAGGCAACGGGCCCGAAAAAAGCACAGGGUUUAUUGGGAGAAUGGGGUGAGGGGCUGUUGCUGUAGAUCUCCACCAGGACCUGGAGAAAACAAAACAAAGAAAAAAAAAGUGACACAGAGACAGAGUGACCCCCAGUCACAAAAUUCUAAAAGUCCCCUAACUUUUAAAUGUGCUUGAAAAGAAAACUGGGUGGCACUGGGAAAAAAGAAACUCUAGUAGCUGAAUUUUAACAAAAUCAGCACAAGGACAGAUCUCCCUGUGAUUGCUGAAUGGAAUUAAAAUGUGGGACCCAAAUUGGGAAUCACAGCACAUGGUUCGGUUUGAGUUGGAAUCAUAUACUUUUGUGAGGUGUAUGUGUCAGCAAUGAGAAUGAUUGAAUAUUAAAAUAGACUGCACCUAGACCUUCUCCAUUACAGCCAGUGUGAAAGCAACACGGAAAUCACCUUUAUCACAGGCAUUACACUGAAAAUUUAACUUGAAAUGUGUUUAUGAAAUAUAGACAUUUUCAUUUAC
RNAcentral lists this long non-coding RNA (968 nucleotides) under Marmota monax (woodchuck). Lineage: Eukaryota; Metazoa; Chordata; Mammalia; Rodentia; Sciuridae. The record is from RNAcentral.